This 316-nucleotide ribosomal RNA is filed under the name Cetopsis sp. RNAcentral's name for it is "partial 12S ribosomal RNA". It matches the Rfam family "Bacterial small subunit ribosomal RNA", at positions 868 to 1349 of the family's 1533-position model. The record is from RNAcentral. Lineage: Eukaryota; Metazoa; Chordata; Actinopteri; Siluriformes; Cetopsidae.
UCCGCCAGGGUACUACGAGCAUAGCUUGAAACCCAAAGGACUUGGCGGUAUCUCAGACCCACCUAGAGGAGCCUGUUCUAUAACCGAUAACCCCCGUUAAACCUCACCACUUCUUGUCCACUCCCGCCUAUAUACCGCCGUCGUCAGUUUACCCUGUAAAGGACUAAUAGUAAACAAAAUGGGCUCACCCAAAAACGUCAGGUCGAGGUGUAGCGAAUGAAGUGGGAAGAAAUGGGCUACAUUUUCUACAUCAGAAUAAUACGAACGGCACCCUGAAAUAUAGUGCCCAAAGGUGGAUUUAGUAGUAAAAAGUAAA